UACGGAGGGGGCUAGCGUUGUUCGGAAUUAUUGGGCGUAAAGGGCGCGUAGGCGGCCGAAUAAGUCUGACGUGAAAUCCCUCGGCUCAACCGGGGAACUGCGUUUGAAACUGUUCGGCUCGAGUCCGGGAGAGGGUAGUGGAAUUCCCAGUGUAGCGGUGAAAUGCGUAGAUAUUGGGAGGAACACCGGUGGCGAAGGCGGCUACCUGGACCGGUACUGACGCUGAGGCGCGAAAGCUAGGGUAGCAAACAGG
This 253-nucleotide ribosomal RNA is filed under the name uncultured bacterium. RNAcentral's name for it is "partial 16S ribosomal RNA". It matches the Rfam family "Bacterial small subunit ribosomal RNA", at positions 524 to 776 of the family's 1533-position model. The record is from RNAcentral.